RNAcentral lists this ribosomal RNA (394 nucleotides) under uncultured bacterium. RNAcentral describes it as "partial 16S ribosomal RNA". It matches the Rfam family "Bacterial small subunit ribosomal RNA", at positions 523 to 918 of the family's 1533-position model. The record is from RNAcentral.
AUACGUAGGGGACGAGCGUUGUCCGGAAUUACUGGGCGUAAAGGGCGCGCAGGCGGAUAUUUAAGUCAGCUGGAAAAGGCAUGAGCUCAACUCAUGUAUGCGGUUGAAACUGGGUAUCUAGAGUGCUGGAGAGGUAGGCGGAAUUCCCGGUGUAGCGGGGAAAUGCGUAGAUAUCGGGAAGAACACCAGUGGCGAAGGCGGCUUACUGGCCAGCAACUGACGCUGAGGCGCGAAAGCCAGGGGAGCGAACGGGAUUAGAUACCCCGGUAGUCCUGGCCGUAAACGAUGAAUGCUAGGUGUGGGUGUCGAGAGGCAUCCGUGCCGGAGUUAACGCGAUAAGCAUUCCGCCUGGGGAGUACGAUCGCAAGAUUGAAACUCAAAGGAAUUGGCGGGG